AUUGAACGCUGGCGGCAGGCCUAACCCAUGCAAGUCGAGCGGAGCGGCGGACGGGUGCGUAAUGCCUAGGAAUCUGCCUGGUAGUGGGGGAUAACGUCCGGAAACGGGCGCUAAUACCGCAUACUAUCAGAUGAGCCUAGGUCGGAUUAGCUAGUUGGUGGGGUAAAGGCCUACCCAGGCGACGAUCCGUAACUGGUCUGAGAGGAUGAUCAGUCACAAUGCAACUGAGACACGGUCCAGACGCCUACGGGAGGCAGCAGUGGGGAAUAUUGGACAAUGGGCGAAAGCCUGUUCCAGCCAUGCAGGGUGUGUGAAGAAGGUCUUCGGAUUGUAAAGCAGUUGAAGUUGUAAGGCGUUACCAACAGAAUAAGCACCGGCUAACUUCGUGCCAGCCGCCGCGGUAAUUC
RNAcentral lists this ribosomal RNA (407 nucleotides) under uncultured bacterium. RNAcentral's name for it is "partial 16S ribosomal RNA". It matches the Rfam family "Bacterial small subunit ribosomal RNA", at positions 30 to 526 of the family's 1533-position model. The record is from RNAcentral.